AGUGAACGCUGGCGGUAUGCCUAACACAUGCCAGUAGAACGGCGGCACAAUAAGCUCUUGCUCUUACGGGUGGCGAGUGACGGGCGGGUGAGGCGUAGAUCGGCAUCUACUUUUUCGUGGGGGAUAACGUGGGACAAUAUACACUACUACAUCAUACGACCUGUGGGUGAAAACCGACGUAAUAGGUACCUUGCCAGCACUAAUAGGUCGAUCUCUGAUUUGUUAGUUGGGUGGGUAAGGGCCAACAAAGGCGAGGAACCGUAGCUGGCCUGAGAGGAUGGUCGGCCACACUGGAACUGAGACACGGUCAAGACUCCUACGGGAGGCAGCAGUGGGGAAUAUUGGACAAGGGGCGAAAGCCUGAUCCAGCCAGACCGCGUGGUGGAAGAAGGCCUUCGGGUGGUAAAGCCCGUUUGUUGGGAAAGAAAAGCAGCAGGGUAAUACCCUGCUGUUGUGACGGUACCCAAAGAAUAAGCGCCGGCUAACUUCGUG
Molecule: ribosomal RNA, 492 nt
Filed under: uncultured bacterium
Lineage: Bacteria
Description: partial 16S ribosomal RNA
Rfam family: Bacterial small subunit ribosomal RNA
Source: RNAcentral